GAGGGAUAGGAGGUGGGCCUUGUUGGAGGAGCUUUCAAAAGCCCACACCACACCCAGUCUCUGUCUCUACAGUGUGCUGCUGGACUUGAUGGCUGUUGGGUACUGGUCCAGUGUGAUGGCUGCCUUCUGCUGCCAUGCUUCCUGCCAUGAUCAUCGCGAAUUAACUACAGGGUCUCUCCUAAAUCCCGGACCUGCAUGAUUGAAGCCAAGGAUUACCUUGAACAACUAAUCCUCCUAUUUCUCUCCUAAGUGCUAGGAUUAGAUGUGUAUGCCCAGUCCCCUGUUUGUAUAGAGUUGAGGAUUGAAUCCAGUUGGGGCUAGGUGAGCAUGCUGGGAAUGAGCUAUAUCCCUAGCCCUCACUUUUGUAUUUUAACUUACAAUAAUCUUCUUCAUUCAGUCAUUAAACAUAGUCCCAAAAAAUCUAA
Molecule: long non-coding RNA, 425 nt
Organism: Mastomys coucha (southern multimammate mouse)
Lineage: Eukaryota; Metazoa; Chordata; Mammalia; Rodentia; Muridae
Exons: 2
Source: RefSeq, a predicted model, not a curated record